GGAGGUUGCAGCCAGGCUAACAGAAACCCAGCCCUGCCCACUGGGUGAAACUGCAAGUCGAGAGCGUGGGAAACCAGCAAGUUGAGAGAGGAUCCAGAAGUAACCCCUUCUAAAACGGGAAAGAUGCCUUCCGAAAGACCGGAUGGCCUGGUACUGGUCUUCUCUAGACUGAAGGUCCUCCACCAGGUCUCCUGCUGCUGCUACCUAAGAAAGAAAUCUCACAAGGGUGUUAAAAGCACUUGGCCCUAAAGAGAAAACACUAGGAGGAUGGGAACCAGGGACAGAGAAGCUACUUGCUCUGCAGCUGUUUGGGCCAAUGAUCCAAUGGCCCCAUCUAGACUGGAGACACCAACUCAUGACUCAGCUGGCCUUGUGGCCCACACCCAGAAGUGGACUCAGUGCAUGAGGACUAUUUUCCACACUCCUAUGAUAGCAUCCCCAACCAAUCAGCAGGACCAUUUCCUAGCCCCUUGCCCACCAAACUAUCUUUUAAAAAACCUGGCUGGGCGCAGUGGCUCACACCUGCAAUCCCAGCACUUUGGGAGUCUGAGGUGGGUGGAUCACGAGGUCAGGAGUUCAAGACCAGCCUGGCUAAGAUGGUGAAACCCUGUCUCUACUAAAAAUACAAAAAAAAUUAGCCGGGCAUGGUGGCAGGCACCUGUAAUCCCAGCUACUUGGGAGGUUGAGGCAGAGAAUUGCUUGAACCCAGAGGCGGAGGUUACAGUGAGCCGAGAUCACUCCACUGCACUCCAGCCUGGAUAACAGAGCAAGACUCUGUCUCAAGGAAAAAAAAAAACAACCUAGCCUCCACAUUUUCAGAGAGGCUCGUUUGAGUAAUAAUAAAACUCUGGUCUCCCAUUUAGCUGGCUCUUCUUGUAUUAAACUCUUUUUCUAUUGCAAUAACCCUGUCUUGAUAAAUUAGCUUCAUCUGGGAAGCAGGCAAGAAGAACUUAUUGGAUGGUUAUAUAGUGGGCUUCUAGCAUGGCCUAGAGAUGCAGAGGCCAUGGCAGAUAAAGCCAACUUCCUCCAACUGAGUAGAGGACUCAGGGGCCCAGAGGAGUCAGAAGGGGAGAUGGGAGCCAAGGAUGAGGAAGAACUCCUGGAAAGGCCUGAGAAAGAAGGACCCUAAGUUUAGCAUCUUAGGUCCCGAAAAAUGGCUGAAGGAGAGGAAAAGAUGGAGAGAAAGAGUAUUGUGACAUGAACCUGCCCCUGUGCCUCGAGUUCCUGGGAGUUUCUUGUUAGCUUCUGUGUCCUGUUUUUCUGUAUCCUCUGCAAAGGAAAGAUGAAAUCUGUUGCCACAUAGGCGAUGGGGUUCAGGACACACUACUCCAAAAGAUGGCAUCUUGUCAUAUUGAAGAAAAUAGCAGAAACUGGACCAUUGGUCUUACCUUUCCCCAUACUUCUCCCCUGAAGUGGAUUAUAAAACCUAGGAAGGACUCUCUGACUGAGACGGUUUGGCUGUGUCUCCACCCAAAUCUCAUCUUGAAUUGUAACUCCCACAAUUCCCACAUGUCAUGGGAGGAACCCAGUGGGAGGUGAUUGAAUUAUGGGGGCGAGUCUUUCCUGCACUGUUCUUGUGAUAGUGAAUGAGUCUCAUGAGAUCUGAUGGUUUGAUAAGGGGAAGCCCGUUUUGCUUGGCUCUCAUUCUCUCUCUUUGCCUGCCACCAUCCACGUAGGAUGUGACUUGCUCCUCCUUGUUUUCCAACAUGAUUGUGAGGCCUCCCCAGCCACGUGGAACUGUAAGUCCAUUAAACCUCUUUCUUUUAUAAAUUGCCCAGUCCAGGUAUGCCUUUAUCAGCAGCAUGAAAACCAACUAAUACACUGACCUUCCCCUAAAGUAGGUUAUAUGACCCUCAUCUGACAGAUGCCCUCCUUAGACCUACAGGGAAGGAAAAAGCAUCCUUAUCUCUGAAAAUGGAGGAACACAGAGAAAAAUUCAAACAAACAGGCCUCGUUAAGUCCCUGCCCCAUUUAUUACCAUUAGAUAAUAUUCUUUGUCCUAUCAUAUUUCUCCAUGACUGUUCAUUCUUCAUCAAACCUAGAAUAAAAACACUCAAAUGUACCUGUUUCUUUGGUCUUCAUUUCCUUAUGAAGGCUCUCAUGUCACGUAAAACUUAUUUGAAAUAAACCUGUAUGGUUUUCUGAUUAAGCUGCUUUUUGUUACAGGCCAUAAACCUAGGAUAGGUAGAGAAAAGGAUAUUUUUCCUCCCCUACAUUGAUCCAGAUGCAAUCACCACCAUUAGCAGUGCUUGCUUGACUUUGACUGCUCAAGAAAAGUUAGUGGAUUUGCACCCACUCACCCACUCCCAUCCCCAUUUCUAUGAAACACAUGAUUUAGCAUUGUGCUAGAAGAGCAGAGAUUUGAGCUCUUCUUAGAGGCCGCUCUAGCAUGCUGCUUCUUCUGAGAGAUAGCAAGUAAGACCCUCAUGGCCAUGCAUCCAAGGUUUGCUGCCUUGAGGGCCACUGCUUUUUACCUUUACAUUGCUGCCUUACUAAGUCCCAGCAGUCCAGGAAAAUUUCCUGGAUUCAGACGUUCCGAUUAUUCUGAAAAUUUAUUUUUCCUGCCCUCCACUCACAGAACUGCUUAGACAGAGUGACUAUAUACCAUUGACUGUAAAUUCAUGAUCAAUUAAAGAAAAUAACUUCUCUAAUCCAAGUCCAAAGGCUGAUAACAGAGGCCCAGGGACUCCUGAGCUAUCAGAGGGAGGCACUAGGCUAGUCUCCCAGUGAAAUCAAGCAAAGAGAGAAAUCAUUAGAGGAGCCAUGUUUAUUGUUUGAAUUUUAUGAAUACAUAGAAUUCUAUGAAUCAAAAAAGGGAAGUUCACAUUGGUUCUGUGCAGCAUGUGAUAAACCACAGCAUUGCUAUCUACAUUUUUUUUCUUUCUUUAUGAUCAGUAGCCUCUCAAUAAAGUGGAUAUUUUGAGUGUUGCAGUACCAGAUACAGACAUAGGUUGUAAAGAAGAAGAGUUUUUCCACUUGUUAAAGAGAUAGGAGUAAAGCAGCAAAAGUCUGGAACAUUUCUGGGGGUAUAUUGCUUAUCAGAGUGUUCAGUUAUUCUAAGGCCAACUUCAUUUUCUAUGGUUUUUCUUAAGAAAACAUUUGUGAAAAUAUCCAAUUAUGAGUACAAACUACCUCCCAUGAAUUAUCUGUGAUGUCUAUACUGAUUCCCCAUGGAUGUUUAUAUAGCCAGAUGUUUGAAAUCUUGGGCACCAUCUCCUCUGACAUAAACAAUUUUCUGUGAAACCUUCCAUGUUAACCAGUGGUACCUGAUUCUCAAAUCUGAUGUAAAUCUAGCAUAUACUCUUCUCCCACACAAUGUCUUUGACUGUAACUGUUUUGCUAUUAUACUGAAAGUACACACUCUUUUCUCCUAACCAUGGGCCCCAAUUCCCACAAGAUGAGGACAAACUACAGAGUAGCAGAGGGAAAAGACCAUUGCUUUUCCUCUUUGAAGACUUUCUAUGAAAUUUCAUCUUUCUGCUCUGCGGAUGGCGUUUUAUGUUGGGAAAAUAGUAGAACUCAUAAUUUGGUCUCCUGGACUUAAUUUCUAAUUACUUCAUAUUGGUGACUUUUUUUUAACCUCAAAGAGGAAAACGGCAAGCCCUAAAUGCCUGUUUUUCUCCUUUUUUGGCCCAAGUGGGUAACUGAGGCUCAGUUUACAUACAUCAAAUUACCAAAAUGCUGUCUUGUAUAUAGUUUUGAAAGAUAGAGAUGGGUUUGUAAUGUUUUUCAGACCUGAUUCAGAGCUCAAUUUAGUUUUUCUUUUGGUAUUCAGGCUAUUAUAUUCGUCAUAAAAACAGGCACUGUGUGUGCCUUAGUAAAUAAUUUAUAACUUUCCCCAUAACUCAGGGGAACCCACCAUAGUCUGACUGUCUGCCUUUUACCUUCUCAUCUCUAUACCUCCAGGUCUCUAGUGAUCAUAAAAGUGAUCGAAGCCCUGAUCUGAUUUUUAUCACAAAGCCAUUCUUCUUUGUGGGUACUUUGGUUCUGGAGACAGAGAAUCAUGAGAUCAGAUAAAGCCAUGUGGAGGGCUGAAAGUUGGCUGGAAUGGCGCUUGGGGCCCAGUUUAUGCUGUUGGAGCAUUUCCUGUGUGCCCUUUGAAACCUCUGAACUCAGCUCUUCAAAGUGAGAGCUUUGUCUUUCCGCUGAACACAUAUAUUUGCUACUUAUUAUCUUUCUCUUGCCAUCUCCACCCUUACUUGACUCAGCCAACAUCGAUAUAUCAAAGCAAAAGCAUUGCUCUGACUGAGUCAUAAGUUAUACUUUUACCUGACAUUAUCUGGCUGUGUAGAAAUGAAAGCAUAAAAAUAAUGGAGGUUUUGUGUACAGGUCUACACACACACACACACACACACACACACACACACACACACACACACACACACGUCUUCUUCUUUGCUUCACUUAUCAUGCUCUCACUACUUCCACUGUUUCUCUCCCCAACUCCUGCCCACUCCCACUCAUAGCAGUUUAUUAAAGAAGUAUGUUUUCUCAUGAGCCAAUUGGGUAAUUUUUCAAGUUGAACCCCAUUAACAUUAUAAAUGCCGUUAUAAAUGCUUGUUUUUCAAAAAUUUGUCUUUCCAAAACUUUGUUCUGGGUCAGAAAAUUUAUUUCUCUUUAGAGAGCCAGUGUUGCAUGAGGAAAUUGAAGCUGAUCUCUGGGUGUGUGUUUGUGCUAAUUUGCUGUACAAUCAAAUACAGAUAUAGGUUAAUAAAUGCUGUUCUUUGAUCUGUUGCUACAAAGGAUUCAUUGUAAAUACAUUACUAGAUAAGUAAGUUAGAACUUUGUAACUGUCUCUUGCAAACGGUGCCCCAUGCCACCCAUUAGCAUGUGCAAGAAGUGAUACAUUUGGCUUCAGCCUGCCUGGGUUUUACUUUGCUGAUUUGUUUAUUUUUAAAAUAGUUACCCAUAGUAUACUUCCAUUUGGGGUGUCCUCAUAGAAGGAUAGCACUCAGGCAGAGAAAUAGCCCAAAAAAACAAUAACAGCACCAAAAACUUGGUAGCAAGAAUUUAAUAAAACCAAGGGAGGCCAAUGUUUCUAUAGGUAACCAUUUAACAUUUGUCAUUAUGUGUCUAGCUCUAGCCAAGGCAUUGCAAAGAAUGCAAAAAGACAUGAUCAAAGGCCUCAAGAUGUUUACAGUCCUGUUAGGGGAUGAAGGUAUUGGAGUGAAUCACAUUCACUAAAAUGGGAAUAAAGACUUCUACCUUAAAAUCAUGGUGUUUUUCAGGGAAUCAGAACUAAUAUGAUAUGACUGGAGUUAAUAUGUUAUUGUGGGGGAUGGGGAGGAGUAGACUAUUGGUAGUUGUGGCUACAAAUUUGGCAGGAUUCAAAUAUUGAAAGGGAUUUGUAUGUCAAGCUAAAGAAUUAUAAUUUUUCUCUAUAGACAAUGGGGGAAUUAACCACCGAAGAAUUUUGAGUUGGUGAAUGACAUAAAAAGAUUUGUAUUUUAGAAAAAUAACUGGCAUGUUGCGGGGUGUGAAAUGAAGUAAAAGAAGUCUUCAGUUGUGAAGUUACAUGUCCAUUGAGUCUAGCAGAUACCAAACAAUCACAUCAAAAUCCUGAAAUAAUAAUAAAUAAAGAAUUCUACCUUGUCUGUCUCAGUGAUUGUACGUGGAG
Molecule: long non-coding RNA, 5617 nt
Filed under: Homo sapiens (human)
Lineage: Eukaryota; Metazoa; Chordata; Mammalia; Primates; Hominidae
Description: HSALNT0282225
Source: RNAcentral